Long non-coding RNA from Phyllostomus hastatus (greater spear-nosed bat), 1123 nucleotides. RefSeq lists it as uncharacterized. The record is from RefSeq and is a predicted model, not a curated record. The transcript has 4 exons. Lineage: Eukaryota; Metazoa; Chordata; Mammalia; Chiroptera; Phyllostomidae.
GCAGGAUACAGGGCACACUCUGAUAUUGACGAACAGAUUAUAUUUGGGUUGGGGAUUCCACUUCCCGAAGUGAUUCCAGCCUUCCCUGAGCACAGGAAAUGGCACAAAUGACGACUGGAAAGAUAGUUGAAGCUCAUCUCAUUCCCUCUGGAGCAGCUAUGAAGGGCCAAGUCAGCUUCCUCUAAUUGUCAUGCUCACUUAAAAACCUGGAGGAGAGCAGCAAAGCUCAGGGUGCCACCCAUAUCCCCUGGCCCUCAUCAUCCUCUGUGUGCUGAUUGUAGGCAUCCAUGCCUUUCUUUCUGAGUGCUUUCUCUGGCAAUGGAAAGAGAGCUCAGCUUAUAAAAAUGCAGAAAGAAGACAUCUACCAAAAAAGGCUCCUGUUGGCUAACUGAGGUCAAAUUUAAAAAUGGAGCCUAGCAGCCACUGCUACAGAGGGGUUUCUCGUGCACUUCAGAGAGAAGCCUGCACCACGCUGCCUGCUCCCUGCACUGAGCUAACUGCCUACCUGCACUGUAUUUCUACUGUCUGAGCCAGCCUUUAUAAAGAAGUUCCUGGAAUUUUAUUUUAACUGAUAGGACUGAUUGAUUUUUCCUGUCUGAUUAGAGCUGCACAGCUAUAACCUAUCUGCAUAUUCGCCAAACAAUGUGGUUCCAUUUUGACAAUCAGGACAGUGCCUUUUGGACCAAUCAAACUGUGAGGAUUCAGAGCCCUCACUUGCAUGAGGAUCGACCAGGGGUGGGAACUUGUCUUUGUAUAAGUCAGAGCCUCUCUUUCUCAGAGAGCACACUUUCCCUUUCUACUGAAGACUGAGGGCCGUGCUACCCUGGUUAGAGCUGAAUCACCAGAGACAUCUUGCCAGAGAGGGACAGAGCAGACCAGAGCAGACUAGAGCAGGCCAAAGCAGAGCAGGCAGAGAGGACCAGAGCACAGCUGUUAGCUGGAGAGGGGCCUUGCCCCAGGUCCUCCUCACAGCCUCACAGCUGAGCUGUUCCACAGCCAUGCUGCUUCAUAAUUGAGUGGACACACCCUGAGUUGUUCUGCAACUCACAAUUUAGCUGUUUGCAUGGAAUGAAGUUUUGUUCUUCACUGCACCCCAAUUUGAGGGUUCCUUUUAAUGUUGAAU